RNAcentral lists this long non-coding RNA (351 nucleotides) under Urocitellus parryii (Arctic ground squirrel). Its description in RNAcentral is "lncRNA (ENSUPAG00010014377.1)". The record is from RNAcentral. Lineage: Eukaryota; Metazoa; Chordata; Mammalia; Rodentia; Sciuridae.
AGUUCAGUUUGUGAGUUUUUCUCAMUUAUUUGGCUUUUUCUGUUAUUGCAGAUGUAUGAGAAUUCUGGAGGCUGUGGMAGACAAAAUGUCUGACUUGGAGGUUGCAAUCCCAAGGAAGCCUCCAUCCCUAGGGAAGUUUCCAUCCCUGYAAAGGAAUCAAGGACGAUGGGAUGUGUGGACGCACAAUUACCAGCUGAAAACUGGACCCUCCAUUCGAAUGUGCGUGGAAAACCUGCACCGACUCCACCAUGUGCAUGCYGAGACAGCUCCGAGGCUUUUUAAAGGACUCCUGGCAAAGCUCAGGUUAGUUCCUCUUCCGCUUUAGUUUGGGCACAGUUGGCUUCUCUUCUG